GAGUUUGAUCAUGGCUCAGAUUGAACGCUGGCGGCAUGCCUUACACAUGCAAGUCGAACGGUAACAGGUCUUCGGACGCUGACGAGUGGCGAACGGGUGAGUAAUACAUCGGAACGUGCCCAGUCGUGGGGGAUAACUACUCGAAAGAGUAGCUAAUACCGCAUACGAUCUGAGGAUGAAAGCGGGGGACCUUCGGGCCUCGCGCGAUUGGAGCGGCCGAUGGCAGAUUAGGUAGUUGGUGGGAUAAAAGCUUACCAAGCCGACGAUCUGUAGCUGGUCUGAGAGGACGACCAGCCACACUGGGACUGAGACACGGCCCAGACUCCUACGGGAGGCAGCAGUGGGGAAUUUUGGACAAUGGGCGAAAGCCUGAUCCAGCAAUGCCGCGUGCAGGAUGAAGGCCUUCGGUUGUAAC
Molecule: ribosomal RNA, 415 nt
Filed under: uncultured microorganism
Description: bacterial SSU rRNA
Rfam family: Bacterial small subunit ribosomal RNA
Source: RNAcentral